UUUAUCUUUAUAAAUAUUAAUGGUAUAUCAUCUGAGUGUAUAAAAAAGCAUGAAGAGUUAAACUUUCUAUUGGAUAAUGGAACUGAGAGAUCAAAGAGUUUUGCUCCUCUCAUGAGAAACCAAACAUGUUUGCUUUUCAAAACUCAAAUAAAAAGGAUGGAGUGUCUCGAAAACUAUCAUGUACUUUGUCAUUUUUAUAUUUUCAAAACUGACACAUCCACAUUGUACAAUCAAUAAUAUCAUGUUGUAAUAAAG
This 255-nucleotide long non-coding RNA is filed under the name Lathyrus oleraceus (garden pea). RNAcentral describes it as "Pisum sativum (pea) long non-coding RNA (PSAT_LNC042161)". The record is from RNAcentral. Lineage: Eukaryota; Viridiplantae; Streptophyta; Magnoliopsida; Fabales; Fabaceae.